Molecule: ribosomal RNA, 492 nt
Filed under: uncultured bacterium
Lineage: Bacteria
Description: partial 16S ribosomal RNA
Rfam family: Bacterial small subunit ribosomal RNA
Source: RNAcentral
AGUGAACGCUGGCGGUAGGCCUAACACAUGCAAGUCGAACGGCAGCACAGUAAGAGCUUGCUCUUACGGGUGGCGAGUGGCGGACGGGUGAGGAAUACAUCGGAAUCUACUUUUUCGUGGGGGAUAACGUAGGGAAACUUACGCUAAUACCGCAUACGACCUACGGGUGAAAGCAGGGGAUCUUCGGACCUUGCGCGAUUGAAUGAGCCGAUGUCGGAUUAGCUAGUUGGCGGGGUAAAGGCCCACCAAGGCGACGAUCCGUAGCUGGUCUGAGAGGAUGAUCAGCCACACUGGAACUGGAACACGGUCAAGACUCCUACGGGAGGCAGCAGUGGGGAAUAUUGGACACUGGGCGCAAGCCUGAUCCAGCCAUACCGCGUGGGUGAAGAAGGCCUUCGGGUUGUGAAGCCCUUUUGUUGGGAAAGAAAAGCAGCAGGUUAAUACCCCGCUGUUCCGACGGUACCCAAAAAAUAAGCACCGGCUAACUUCGUG